RNAcentral lists this ribosomal RNA (253 nucleotides) under uncultured bacterium. RNAcentral's name for it is "partial 16S ribosomal RNA". It matches the Rfam family "Bacterial small subunit ribosomal RNA", at positions 80 to 334 of the family's 1533-position model. The record is from RNAcentral.
CUAGGAGAGUGGCGACCGGCGCACGGGUGAGUAACACGUAUCCAACCUGCCGAUAACUCGGGGAUAGCCUUUCGAAAGAAAGAUUAAUACCCGAUGGCAUAAUAGAACCGCAUGGUUUGAUUAUUAAAGAAUUUCGGUUAUCGAUGGGGAUGCGUUCCAUUAGGCAGUUGGUGGGGUAACGGCCCACCAAACCUUCGAUGGAUAGGGGUUCUGAGAGGAAGGUCCCCCACAUUGGAACUGAGACACGGUCCAA